CUAGUACCAUCCAGUGUAUAACAAGUGUGGUCUAUGAAUUGUUAUGAUUGUGGAUUGGGGCUCAUACUUAAGGGACCUUGUGUGCAGCCCUGCACCUGCAGGGAGACAGGAUCCACUCCUUCCUUCCUUUUCUCUUGUCUCACAUUUCAGCAGAUUCACAGAGAGGCUGAGACAGGCCUCAAGGAGACUUGAGCGAGAGGGGGAAGUGGCAGAUUUGGAGGAUCCCUAGGGAUGUGUGUAAAUAACAUGUAUUCCUGUAGGUCAGGAAUCAUGUGUGAUUCUUCUAUUCAUACUCAGAAUUAUUUUCAAAAUAAAAUAUAACCCAACACGAAAACAGGAAGCAGGAAGGAUUUGGUGGUCUUUUCUUUUUCUCCUUCAUAAAUACUCUUAGAUGCGAGAGGGAGAUGAGAGUCUCCGAAACCUCUCCUGCGGGUUCAACCUCUUCCGAACCCUGCGAGACGAGAGAGGGUCAGGAGCGCAUGUGGUCCCCAAGCCCAGUAGCCGGAGCCGGAAUCUGAGAACAUCUACGCUCUGGCUCAGGGCUUAUUUGACUUGCUAAUUAGGAGGCGGCUACAACUUUUGAGACGACUGGUACGGCGCCCUAACGCACACGGAAAAGGAAGCAUCGCGAGACCUUCCCGCAUUUUCGCGGGAGAGUUCUCUGUGUCGGCGCCCGACGGCUGUUUUGGCCUGAAGUAAAGGUUUACUGCGUGCCUGCUGAGAGGUUGGGGAAGACCCCUGGAGUUCUUGCGAGCUGAUGUUCCACACAGGAAACUGGAGUGUCGGCCUCCAUUACAGAGACGGGAGUGAGUGCAGAACCAACUUCUGUGAAAUGUGUUUUAAUAUGUACGGUAUUGUAAUAUUUAACAAGAACUAAUCAUAUACAUAGACACUGUUGAACACUAUAUAGAAGUAGAUAAUGAGUUUCGGUAGUAGAAGUUACAGCUGUAUGACAGGUCAUUUAGUAGUGUGUAGGAUGGAAUGGACGGAACACAGGUUUUGGAGCCCCUUAGGCUACUUUUGAAUGCAGUUUCUCUCACUACUGUGUGACCUCUGCCUUCUCUGUGUCUUACGCAUGGUAGGGAUGAUGAAGAUAAUAGAUAUCCUAACAGGGUCGUUUUGAAUAUCAAAUGAAAUAGCAUUUAUAAAGCAGAAUACAUGAAAUUGCUGCUCACUGCCCACCCCACAGGCUCAAGCAGGGGAACCCACAUAAGACGUUUUGAAAGGCUUUCAUCUGGGUGUCGUCCUUGAGAGGUUUAGAGUCUAUGAGUUCAAGAAUACACCAGAUGAAGCAUAAGGUUAACAAUUUAAUCCUUAACAGGUCUGAAAAAACUUAAGUACAUGGAAUUCAGAUGACACAGGAGAUCAGAUUUGGGUGAACUUAAUUAAGUAAGCCCAAGAUGGGGCUUUUGAAGGACACGAUUGAUUAAAAUCACUUACGACAAAAGUAGAGCGAGCUAUUUUGGAUUCAUUCCAGUAUCAAGUAUAUGUAAGCAAGAUCUAAAAGUUACUUGAUUUUUUUUUCUUAAUGUUGGGCUCAGUGUCAUAAUUGAACAAAGACUUCAGUUGUUGGAGUUUUGAGAUUAAUAUGUAAUCAGCAGUGACCUUUAUACUCACAAACUUGUAUUAAGCACUGACUAUACCAGACAGUACUCUAAGUUCCUGGGAACACAUAGAGACAAAUAUGGCAGUUUCAGUCCCCAAAGGCUGUACAAAAUUUAAAAGCUCAAAGAAUAAGUUUGAGUCAUUGAGUUAAAGGAUUUCAGUUUUGGACAUAUGACUCAGAAUACUUAAAAUUCAAGGUUAUGGGAUUGCUCAUAAUGGAAAGUGUAAAAUACGUGCUGAACCACAGGCAGACAUUGAAAAUGAUUACACAUGGCAAAGCUAAAUUAGUCAUGUUUGUCAGCAGCUGCCCUGCCUUAAGGUAAAUCACUUUUCCUCAUAGACUAAUUACAAAUAUCUAACAUGAGGACUAUCUUAGUUAUCUAGUGCUGCUGUAACAAAUACCACAAGUGGAUGGCUUUAACGAAUGGGAAUUUAUUCUCUUAGAGUUUAGGAAGCUAGAAGUCUGAAUUCAGGUCGCCAGAUUCAGGGCAAGGCUUUCUCUCUCUGUCAGCUCUGGGGGAAGUCCUGGUCGUCAGUCUUCCCCUGUCUAGGAGCCUCUCAUCACAGGAACCCCAUGCCGAAAGGACUCACUGUGCUCCUGGGUCUUCUUUUGUGGUGGUACUGAGGUCCCUUUCCUCUCUGCUCACCCCUCUCAUAUUUCAAAAGAAGUUGACUCAAGAUACAACCUAGUCCUGUAGAUUGUGUCCUGCCCAUUAACAUAAUGGACAGCUCACUCCAAAACAGGAUCAGAACCAAUGGCAUAGCGGCUAGGAUUUAACACAUAGGGCAUUUACAUCAGAUCACAAAAUGGAGGACCACCACACAGUACUGGGAAUCGUGGCCUAGCCACAUUGACACAUAUUUUGGGGGGACACAAUUCAAUCCAUGACAAGGACUGUCAUAACCAGAUUAAAAUGCACUUUGUAACUAACAACUAGCAUCAGUAUUUCCAGGGUAAAAUUUGAUGUUUUUCCUUGAGUUUUUUUGUUUGUUUAAAUUGAUUUGUAACUUCUUAAGCCUCCAUGAUUUUUAGCAAAUGUAUUCUAUGCUAGAACUGUAAGAUUAAAAAGAGGAAAAACCAAAAGAACCAGGAUAUAAGAAAAUUAAAUGGUAAAGUUUAUAAAACUUUGCUAGACAUUACAUAGCUGUAAGGAAACACUCCAAAGUAUCUGCUCUGUACUAGAUAUUACAUACCCUUCACUGACAGGUCAGGGACUAUGUCUGUCUUGUUGUGUUCAUGGUUAGCUUGCAAGCACACAACAUAGUGCCUUGCCUGUGGCAGGUCUUAAUAAAUGAUAAUUGUUGUUAAUGCUAAAUAAAGAAAUUUUAGUGAAUAAAAAACUAUGAGGUAGGAAUUAAUAUUGUCAGAGAGGUGAUUUGUCCAAGAUUUUAUUGCUCCAGUCAAGAUCCCUUCUGACUUUAGAAGAAUCCAUGUAAUAUCUUAGGCCAUUCAUGCCAAACACAGCAAGUAGAAACAGAAUCAAGUGGCUUGGUUGAGUCUCAUGGAGAAAGGGUACAACGUAGAGAACUCCGAGAAGACUUUGAGUUGCAGAAGAAUUUGGUGAAAGAUAAUGUGGAAGAAAUCUGAGAUAACCUAUUUCCUGAUUAUUCCCAAUCCUUUCAGCUACAUGUCCUUGCACACAGUCUUCCAAAGUGAUGUGGAGAGUGGAGACCUCCCCGGAGAGGCCUUCUUUCAGUGUGGCUAGUCUAGGUCUAUCCUCAGUCACCUGGCCCGUCCUCACAGUGCAGCCCUGGGACAGGGCAGGAUUGCUAGCUGGAGCAUUUCCCUUUUUAAUUGUUACACCUGUGGACUCUUUAGCUAAGAACUGUGGAAGGCACUUUCUUGCCCUGUACUUGGAUUCUUUACAGGCAUCAAGGAGAAGGUGUCCUUUUUCUUACCUCUCUUUAUUUUACUGUUUUCCCUCUCUGAAGCCUCCCUAGAGUCUCCUGUAUGUGCAUUAAACAUUGAUGUAUUCUCAGAUGAUAAAGUAUGUCCCGAAGAAGGUCACCUAUUGGUGGAGUUCAGGUGUUAUGUCCAAAAGGUGAUUUGUGUGCUCUGAAAACACUCACAGAUAUUAUCCUAGCUGAGUCUCAUAACAACCCUGUAAGCUGAAUACACAGAACAAGUAUUACUCCCCUUUAAUAGGAGACUGAGAGUCUGAUCAUGUAAUUGAUUUGCCUAGCACAGAAAAAUUUUUAAGUGGCAAAAGCUGUAUCUACAUACCUAUGCGCAGUACACCCCUUUUGGAUACUCACAAGGCUUAGAGCAGAGUCAAGGCUCUGUGAAGUCCUCCAGUAAAGGAACAUGUUUAGCUUUCUCAAAGCUAGUGUUUUUGAAGUGCACUUAGCAACGGAAUCUUUACUUAGAGUAACCUUCCUUAAUGAUCUGUGUGAUACUAGAACAUGUUUUGAGAAAUGCUGGUAUAAACUGCUCCAUCAGAAUGAAGUUAAAGAAAAAAAUUUUCUCUUUAGGAAGUUCUAUGACCUGCCCCCACAAAAUCAUCUCACUGUCGGGCAAACAAAUUUUUGCUGCAUCUCAGCUGUAUCCUUUAUGGUAUAUUUUAAACACAUUUUCUGCUGUUCUGUCGUUGGUAGAGAGGAAGAAUAGCUGGUUGCCAUUUUCUAUGAAAAGAAAUUGCUACAUCUAGAGACCUUUAUUAUGCCAUUCAUCUGCACAGUCUUGGCUCUAGCAGAAUAAGUCCUGAGAGCAGAUAGUUUUCUUGACAGGUGAGAAGCAUCUUUAGAUCAUAUCUGUGUUCGGAAGGAUAAUUCUCUCAGAGGUAGGGUGAAUGGAAUGGAAGUGGGAAAAACCAAGCUCCUAAAGGCAACUAUUGGGUCUUACUCUAUCUUUAUCUUCCAUACUCAACAUAUUGUUUGGGACCAGUGAGUGCUCAGUUCAUGUUGGACUAAAUUGCAGUGUUUCAUUCUAUUGUACAUAGGGGUCACUGUGAGUCAGAACCGACUCGACAGCACCUAACAACAACAAAUUAAAUAUCUAAUAUUUUGUCUUAUGUUGUCUACUUUGCUUUACUUGUCCAAAUGCAUUGUCCUACACAUACAUAUUACUAACAAAUUUAUUGUGUUUGUCUCUAAAUACUUUGCCAGGUUUUAAGAUGGUUUUCCAUUUCGAUCAUAUAGCUAUGUAUGUGACUGCUGACUGACUCAUCGUACUGCUCAGACCUCUGGCUUCUGCCCGUGAGAGAUACAGAAGGCCCACAACGCAGGUAGAUGAUCAAGGGUACUAUUGGGCAAUUCCCCCCGAUUCAUUUACCUUGUUGAAGUACCCAGAGCUUACUUAGAAAGAGCAUAUUGUUAACAGAUAUUCACUUAAAGGAUAUGUAAGUGACUUAUAAAAGGUGAAAAGAUGCUCACUUUCACUCCUAAUAAGAAAAAAAAAAAUACUGAGAUACUAUUUUUUACCUGUCAGACUGACCAAAUGAACACUGGGUUGGUGAAACUGUGAAGAAACAGACAUUACUUAAGGAAAAUGAAUUGAUAUAAUUUCUGUGGAGCACAGUUUGGCAAUAUCUAUAAAAUUACAAAAGCACGUUCCCUUUGACCCUGCCUUCUAGGGUUUUUAUUCAACCAAUCUCCUUGUGCAUGUGCAGAAUGACCUAUAGGAAGUUAUUCGGGUUUUUAUUCAACCAAUCUCCUUGUGCAUGUGCAGAAUGACCUAUAGGAAGUUAUUCGCUGCUGUGGUGUUUUAAUGGCAUGAACACCCUAAAGACCACCAGUACAAGGUUGAUAAAAGAAACGGCAUAUCCAUAUAAUGGAAGGCUACAGCUCUAAAAAAAGGAGGAAGGGGGCGCUUUAUGUGCUGAUAUGAAAAAAUCUUUGAUGAUUAUAUGCAUUGUACAGAACAGUGGUAUGUUAUCUUUUUAUAAAAAAGGGGAAAAUAAAAAAUUUGUAUAUAUUAGUUUAUGUAUGAAGAAGUCCUGGAAGGAUAUAGACAAAAUUAAUAACAGUGGUUGGGUUGUUCAGGGGUUUUGUUCUGUUUCUGUUUCUGUUUUUUGAAGAGGUGGUAACUAAACUGUUGAGUGAGAGACUUCGCUUUAUGCUUUUUACAUUUGAACAUUGUGAAUGUAUUACAUAAAGAAAUAAACUGAAUUUUAAAAUAAGGAGCAUGUGAGUUUGAUGAACAUGAAUUUCAUGGAUCAAAUAUCUUAGGAAUUAAAAUGCAGUAUUCAGUAGUUAUCAACAUAUUCCCUUUAGUUGUCUGUAAUCGCGUGGAGUUGUAUUUAUAUGCCCUAAACACAAAUUCUUUUGAGAGAGGUUUUGUUCUUUGUUGUUUUUGUUUUAAACCACUAUGCUUUGAGGAAGAAAGGUUAAAAGAAUUUUUAAAACAGCAUGUUCCACCAAGCAGGCCGUAUUUACUCAUGAAGCUAAUUUAAUUACUAAAUCUUGUUAAGCAGUAUCUUAAAAAAUUAUGAACAUUUAUGAGGGUUAAAAAGCCUUAAUGUCUAGGAUUCCUUCUCUACAUCAUUAUAAGGGAAGAUGGAAUCCACAAGUUUCCAGGUUACUGCUGGUAAGAAGUGGCAUUUUAGUAAAGAGAUGAGUACAGAGAUGCCCAGAAUUUUCCAGUUCCUGGCACCUUUAAUCCCUUUUUUUUUCCCCACAGUGUCCCUAGGCCAAUAAAUAAAUAACAAUUCCAUUUAUUAAGUAGGUAGUUCCAGGUAUUUAUGUUCUAACAACCUCUAGCCAUUUGAAAAAAUACGUGAAUUGAAAACAGUAUUUUUUAUUUCAUACUUAAAUGACCACAGUUACCAAGUAAAGGGAUGUGUGUGUCUGUUGGGCAUUGUACAACUUCUCUAACCUUGGCAUCAGACUGGACACCGCUACCCCCACUCUUUGUGUUCCAUAUUGAUGUUCAUGGUGUACGUUUUAAUCACAGCAACUGCCAAAAACCCAGCUUUCCAAAGAUGUGGCAUCAUUAAAAGGAAUGUAGCACUAUCCAAUGCUGAAACUGAACUACCCAGAGCUAGUUCCUGGCGGAUGUUACUAUGUUUCUCUUAAAACAUUAAAAUAUCUCACAACAAUUGGUCUUUAUUUGCCUGGAGCAACAGAGGAAGGAGAGUUAGGAAUAGAAGGAAAUAGAGUAGAAAGUGUGGCUAAUUGCCUCCUUGAACAAUUUCCUCCUUUGCCACAAGACCAGAACUGGAUGGUGCCCAGCUACCAUUACUGAACGUUUUGAUUAAAAAAAAUCUAUAGAAGAAUCCUGAUCAGAAGAGGAAUAGUACGGAACAGAAUUUCUAAAUCUCGUGGAAUCCAGCAUUUCUGGAGCCGUGGAGGCUGGAUGAAGCCCAAAAUUAUUGCCCUGAGAUACUCUUUAAACCAAAAAUAUCCCCUGAAGUCUCCUUAAUACCAAAAAAUGGUUUAGCUUAACUGGUAAAGGAAUGUCUGCCUUGAGCUUUAUGCUCUUUUAAGAUCUGUCUAUAUGGGAUCAAAUCGACAGCAGCAACUUGAAGGAUUAGAUAGGAAACUUAGAGGGCAAUGAGUAUAUGUUAAUAGGGGAGGAACAACUCAGAAAAGGAGGGUGAGAAUGGGUGUACAACUUGAAGAAUGUAAGCAAUGCCACUGAACUGUAUGUGUAGAAACUGUUGAAUUGGUUUAUGUUCUGUGUAUACGACAAUAAAAAUUACAAAAAAUUAUUUUUUAAAUAUCCCAUGGCACCCCUGUGAGGUGACUACAGCAACUCAGGGCCUCCGUGGCACACAAUUUAGAAAUCAUGAGUAUGGAAUCAUUAAAGAAUCAUAGAACAGCAUUGUCCAAUAGAACUUUUUGAUGUGAUUUAGUACCUGUGGGUCAGAUACGGAAGCCACUGACCACAUCUGGUUGAGCUUUUGAAAUACGGCUAGUGUGGUUAAGGAAGAGAAUUUUAAAUCUACUUAGUUUUGGUUAAUUUAAAUUUAAAUAGCCACACGUGGCUAACAGAAACAUAUUGGAUAGUGCAGAUAUAGAAUAUCUUGGUGGGUUAGUGUCAUUAUGCUCUGCAGUCUCCACAGCCUUAUAAAGGCUUGAUAAAGACCAAAUGGUUACAGUGGCUUGCAGAACGAAGAGCUAGUAUUCCUACUGGCCUGAUUAUAUAAACAAUCAGAAUAUUGUAAACACACACAAAAUCAAACCUGGGCAUUACAUCCUAGAUUUUUCCCCUCCAUAGAGAUGAUUUUAUAAAGGUCCUAAUCUUCUGAUUUCUGAAAUGUAUAUCCGUUUGCUAAGAUCAGUUGUAAAUUAAUUGGUUGUUGUCAUUCUCAAUUAAGUAGUCAUGGGAAUCAAAGCAAGCGUUUGCUUUUUUAGCAAGUUACACUUUGCUCUCACCAGCAUUUCAAAGUGUCCCUUGACAUCAGUUUCGAAUACAGAAUCAAAAAAGUUUUGGAAAUGGCAUAUAGUCUAUCACCAACUAUUGGGAGAUCAAUGGUGCAGCCUAGGUAUGGGUGAUAAGGAACUGACAACGGUGUAUGACAGUGGUAAUAGAAAACUCACCUCCCAUUAUUCCAUAUUGACACCUGUUUGGGCCCAAAAGUGGAGCCUCCUUUCUUAAAACUCCAUGGACACUGCUGCCUCAGAGCCUCUGCCCAGCAAACUGUUCCCUUUGCUUGGACUGUCUUCACUUUCAGGCUUUACCUUUUCUAACAUCUAUCUUUCCCCCUGCAUCCUGUUUUAGUGGGAGCUGUGCUUCAGAAUCACCCGAGGAUCUUGUUAAAUAUACAGCACCCAUGCAUGCGUACACAGACCUAGAUCCUAAACCAGGUGGAAGUUAGGCAUCUUUGUGUUUAACUAGCCUCCGAGGAGGCGCCGAAGCUAAACCCUUCAGGAGUCUCAGGAAUUGUUGGAAUAGUUCAACUCCAUAAAAUGGAAGCUACUUACGGUAAUUACAUGAUUGCAUACUUCAUCUUGAAAGCGUCUACCUCUGUAAAUGCGCCUUGCCUGACAGGGGUGUGUGACCUUGUAUUUGAAAUUACUGGGGAAACCCACCAAAACCCACUGCCGUCGAGUCCAUUCUUAUAGAGACCGGCCCUGUAGGACAGAGUAGAACUGCCCCAUAGAGUUUCCAAGGAGCGCCUGAUGGAUUUGAACUGCUUUCCUCUUGGUUAGUAUACCCGAAACCCAACCCGUCAGUCAAUUCUGACCCAUUGCCACUCUUGUAGGACAGAGUAGGACUGCCCCAUAGGGCUUUCAAGGCUGUAAGUCUUUACAGUAGCAGACUGCUUCUCUACUUCUGGGUAGUAGGAGUGUGCAGAGAUCAAUAGACAAGCACUGAAUGACUUAAAAAACUGAAAGCAGCCGCCCAACGUGGGGCUCGAACCCACGACCCUGAGAUUAAGAGUCUCAUGCUCUACCGACUGAGCUAGCCGGGCAGUUAUGCAUGUUGGAUUCCCUAAUAAUUAUAAGAAGAUAUGUUAGCUUUUUUUUUUUUUCCUCCCUAGGGCAAGGACUAUUGCUAGGAUUCUAAAUGUAAUCAAAUGGUAUAUUUUUGUAUCAUAGGUAAGAUUACAUGAAGCCUAAAGAAUGUAAGCAUUAUCUUGAAUGAUUAACUUACACUCCACCUACUUUUUCUACAUCUUCCUUCAUUCUCCCAAGCCUGUCUUGACAGACCUCGAAAUGUUUCCAGGAACCAAGAAUUGGAGCCUCUGGAUGUUACAGUGACCCCCAACUCUGGCACUCCCAGACCUCCAGGCCUGGUUGCCUACGAGACCCAAAAGGCCCAGACACAAUCCUGUGCUCUCUCUCUAGCCCAUACAGGAGUUCCUCUCCUGUCCUCAAUACCAGUCAGUUUUUUUUGCCACGGUGCCACGUCGAUGUAAAAAAAAUAUGUAUUUGUAUAUAUAUAUAUUUUCAAUGUGGCCCUGAAAAAAUCUCUGAGGUUUUCUCCCUCCUUUUCACACCUCGUAUUGUUCAUUUGUCGCCCUCUCUGCAGUGACAGCUUACAUACGCAGAAAAGACGGGGGAGGGUGUCGCGAUUAUAUUUUAAUAGAAAGUAUCUGACAACCGCUAAAAUAUAGGAUCCAGUGAUUUUUACAUGUUUUGUUUACCGCUGACCGCAAAAGCGCGUUGACCACAAUUAGGUAAAUAUUUGCUUAAUGAGUACACCGACGGUACGCUCUAGGAGGGAAAAAAAUGCCCGUCUUCUCAAGAAGGGAACAGGAAACCCUGAUUCCAUGCAACUGGGGAAUACUCAAAGCUAUGCUAACAAGAAAAGCCGCAGAGGGAAGUUGAAAAACCCAUAUAAAUAUUUUCCAAGGCCAGACUCCAUAGUUCAGUGUUUUGAUUUUUCCAUUGAAAUCGAUUUCUCUGAUGUGAGCAAUGAAUGAUGGAUGACCUUGAAUAGAGAUGGGACCAUUGUUCUACACAUUUCCUGGUCACAAUCGCGGAGUCGGAACUUCUGGCAGAACCGGAAAUAUUUGCCUUUGAAGUUACUUGAGAGCCGAAUGAAAACGCAAGAAAAGCCAAAAUUGUAAAAGAGUACCUGUUCUUUUUUGAUUAGAAAAGUUACCAGUUCAUUUAUAGAGAUCACAAGCAUAUUCUGUCCACACAUUUGUACUCGAUGCCAUAAUUCAGGUCUUGUAAUUCAAUUUGUGAGAGGCCAGAAAUGAAAAAUGGGCUCGUCCGGGAUUUGAA
Long non-coding RNA from Loxodonta africana (African savanna elephant), 10221 nucleotides. RefSeq lists it as uncharacterized. Lineage: Eukaryota; Metazoa; Chordata; Mammalia; Proboscidea; Elephantidae. The transcript is spliced from 2 exons. The record is from RefSeq and is a predicted model, not a curated record.